This 468-nucleotide ribosomal RNA is filed under the name uncultured bacterium. RNAcentral describes it as "partial 16S ribosomal RNA". It matches the Rfam family "Bacterial small subunit ribosomal RNA", at positions 28 to 507 of the family's 1533-position model. The record is from RNAcentral.
GACGAACGCUGGCGGCGUGCUUAACACAUGCAAGUCGAACGGAAAGGCCCUGCUUUUGUGGGGUGCUCGAGUGGCGAACGGGUGAGUAACACGUGAGUAACCUGCCCUUGACUUUGGGAUAACUUCAGGAAACUGGGGCUAAUACCGGAUAGGAGCUCCUGCUGCAUGGUGGGGGUUGGAAAGUUUCGGCGGUUGGGGAUGGACUCGCGGCUUAUCAGCUUGUUGGUGGGGUAGUGGCUUACCAAGGCUUUGACAGGUAGCCGGCCUGAGAGGGUGACCGGCCACAUUGGGACUGAGAUACGGCCCAGACUCCUACGGGAGGCAGCAGUGGGGAAUAUUGCACAAUGGGCGGAAGCCUGAUGCAGCAACGCCGCGUGCGGGAUGACGGCCUUCGGGCUGUAAACCGCUUUCGCCUGUGACGAAGCGUGAGUGACGGUAAUGGGUAAAGAAGCACCGGCUAACUACGUG